CAAACGACAAUGAAAAGAAGAGUAGCAGUUCAUUUGUUCUCAGAGAGUCUCUGGUAGGUGAGAAGAGGCAGCAAUGUUUUGUGAACCACAUCUUUGAGUCGAUCAGUUGAAUUUAGUAGGCUGAUCCGGGAGCGCCCGUUACAGCAGAGGUCAGAUUGACCAGUUGAGAUCGUUCGUUGUGAGACGGCGAUGAAAAAAGGUGGAACCACGUGAUUACGUCCUUUAG
Molecule: non-coding RNA, 226 nt
Filed under: Enterococcus avium
Lineage: Bacteria; Bacillati; Bacillota; Bacilli; Lactobacillales; Enterococcaceae
Description: T-box sequence
Rfam family: T-box leader
About the family: Uncharged tRNA acts as the effector for transcription antitermination of genes in the T-box leader family. T-boxes are found upstream of many aminoacyl-tRNA synthetase genes and some amino acid biosynthetic genes usually in Gram-positive bacteria.
Source: RNAcentral